CAGGCUGGCACCAGGAGGGUACUCUCCACUUUGACACUCUCCCCUUGGUGCCAAAAAUGCUUGAUCUUAGUCAAAAGACAAAGAUACCGAUGGAAACCUACCACAAUAACAGAAAUUGCAGUAUUCAGCAUCUUUUCCAAAAGUGGUAUCAUCUUAUGAUUGGAGAAUCAUGGAAAAAUGCAGCUGGAAUCGCAGUCCCAACUUCUGCUUAAGGCAAGAACUUCCUUGCCUCAGUUAUCUUGGGGAAAUGGUUACACACCAGAGGUGGCACUGCAUGUAAAGACCGACUUUCCCUUGCCUGAAGGAUUUACUAGAUAAGAUUACAUGCGCUAAAAGAAGCAAGUCUAGAGACACCAUGCUUCCCAUGUGGCUCCCAAGAUGACAGAGUCCUGUGUUAAUGCUCUCACAGGAUUAUAGACUGAGAACUGUAGCUUGUGCCUGAAGCAGCAAAUGAACUGCUGGAAGUAUCUUGAUGACGCUUGCGAUGUGGAAAUAACACUUUAGUUACUGGAACUUAUAUAAUGAAAUACAGUGAAGACAUAAGUCUUGCUACUGCCUUUGUAGGGGUCUGAAGCUAACUUUGUCUAACAUAGAGUAAGUUCUUUUGGGAAUAUGGAAUGUCCAUGAAUUGUGGCACCCCAGAGAUAGUCUGGGUGAGGCAGCUUGUAUGAGGAACUUCAUGGUGCUACACUUUAUGGACACUCUGGGUGCAUCUACAUGGUGCUGUGCUUUAGUAUUUCCUUUUGGAAGUGCUAAAGCAUGAUGCAGGAAAGGUGGUUAAUCCACCAUGCACACAGCACAUGGUUAGAUUUUGCCGCUACAUUGCCAUAGUGGCACACUAUACUGGGGGAAUGUGCCACUACAGUGACAUAACUGGUGAUCACAUAUAGACCCACAUGACUGCUACGUCACCAUAGUGCACCAUACAACGAUGUAGCAUGUCACUACAUUGCCAUAGGGUGAUGUGUAGAGAUGACCUUUAUGUUCCCAGGGGGGAUUAGUCUGUCACACAGUUGGCAGUGCCAGGGAAAAAUGCUUUUUUUCUGUGCUCUGUCUUCCAAAAACAAGGUAUGUAUUCUAUUUGGGGUGUAUCAUGUAUGGGAAAGUACAGUAUGAACAAACCAGUGAGCCAUUGGCCAACUCUAGUAAAAUUCUUGGAUGCAAAUUAUUUAAAAUAACUGUUUUUAAGGUGCUUACUGAAAGAGUAAAGCAUAGGCAUCUGGUGCCUCCAGAUACUGGGGGGGCACCAGCAGUCAAUUGCUGAUCAGGGGACGGGGCAGGGGGUGUCCCCCAGUGGCUGAUCACCAACCGGGGAGGGGGGAUCCCCCAACAGCUGAUCACUGCCGCUGGCAAAAGUGCUGGCGGCAAAACCAGAAGUACCAGAGGCAAACCCAGAAGUGCCGCCAGUGCUUCUCUCAGUGCCUCCACAAUCUCAGGGGGGCACUGGCCAUCACCACCCACUCCCCAGCUGGUGAAGGACAAUAUCGGGGAGGGGCACAUGUCCCCACCUGUGCUUCCCCUAUGGAGUAAGGGUUGAUCAUCCUACUUAGUAACACUUGUAAGAACAAGUUUGCUCACAUUUUAUCAUUAUCUAUUUAUCUUUUCCCCAAGUUUAAGAUAGAAAGAUUUAUUGAAUCCUUCUGCUUCCUCGGUGAUGGUUUAUCUCUAUCUGGUACUAGACCAGUACCACUUUCAGGAGGUAAGGAGGUAAUAGACUUGUUUUUACAGUAGGGUAUCUUGAACUCUCUAUUUAAACUACCUCUCCCC
Long non-coding RNA from Alligator sinensis (Chinese alligator), 1767 nucleotides. RefSeq lists it as uncharacterized. The record is from RefSeq and is a predicted model, not a curated record. The transcript is spliced from 4 exons. Lineage: Eukaryota; Metazoa; Chordata; Crocodylia; Alligatoridae.